GGGCGGUGGCGGCUGGGGUCAGCCCCACGCCGGCGGCGGCUGG
Felis catus (domestic cat) is the source of this 43-nucleotide regulatory RNA element. It matches the Rfam family "Prion pseudoknot". From Rfam's summary of the family: This family represents a predicted pseudoknot structure found in prion protein mRNA. It has been suggested that the family has a possible effect in prion protein translation. The record is from Rfam. Lineage: Eukaryota; Metazoa; Chordata; Mammalia; Carnivora; Felidae.